Molecule: ribosomal RNA, 310 nt
Filed under: uncultured bacterium
Lineage: Bacteria
Description: bacterial SSU rRNA
Rfam family: Bacterial small subunit ribosomal RNA
Source: RNAcentral
AUUGAACGCUGGCGGCAGGCCUAACACAUGCAAGUCGAACGGUAACAGGAAACAGCUUGCUGUUUCGCUGACGAGUGGCGGACGGGUGAGUAAUGUCUGGGAAACUGCCUGAUGGAGGGGGAUAACUACUGGAAACGGUAGCUAAUACCGCAUAACGUCGCAAGACCAAAGAGGGGGACCUUCGGGCCUCUUGCCAUCGGAUGUGCCCAGAUGGGAUUAGCUAGUAGGUGGGGUAGCGGCUCACCUAGGCGACGAUCCCUAGCUGGUCUGAGAGGAUGACCAGCCACACUGGAACUGAGACACGGUCCAG